CCAGGCCCCCACCCAGGGCACAGGCUCAGGCUGAGUGGGGUGGUGGAUGGGCUGGAGCCGGGGAGAAGGGCAGCAAGGCUGGCUGGCCGCAGCCCUCCGUGGCUGGACACGACUUGGCAAGGCCGAGGGAUCUGAGGGCUGGGCUACUCUCGAGGGCUGCCAGGUUCCCAGCUUGCUGCAGGGAAAUGAAGGGGGUGCCGCCCUGAACAGGCACAUGCCUAAGCAAGGUAUUGACGCUUGGAUAAAGCUGGCAACCGCCAGGAGAAGCCUUUUUGGGAUUUUUCGAAUCCUUCGUCAUCCGAGCUGUGAUGAUGGAGUGGAGCGUGGCACGGGCCCAUUGGAGUUCUGUGGGCUCCAUUGGCACUCAGCACGGAUUUGGACAUGCAGGCUGGUGGGCCCUGCAGGAAGCCUGCUCCCUGCUCUGCUGCGUGGGAGGGGGCAGCUCGGGGGAAGGGGGCUUGCAGAGAAACAGAAGAACAUGGGCUGUGGGGCACCUUCAGCAGCCCAGGGUUCCAAUCCCAGCUCCUCCAUGUGGGAGCCAAGCGCCCCAGGCAGCCUUCCCAGCCUUGCUUAGGGCCGGGUUGGGAGAAUCCCACCCCGCAGGGCUGUGGUGAGGGUUGAACGGAGGGUGUGUGGUGAGGGUUGAGUGGAGGGUGUGUGAUGCGUGGUGAGGGUUGAGUGGAGGGUGUGUGAUGCGUGGUGAGGGUUGAACGGAGGGUGUGUGAUGCGUGGUGAGGGUUGAACGGAGGGUGUGUGAUGCGUGGUGAGGGUUGAACGGAGGGUGUGUGAUGCGUGGUGAGGGUUGAACGGAGGGUGUGUGAUGUGCCCAGUGGUGCACGACAAAUUGCCUUCUUUGGGUUGACAGACUGGGUUUUACUCUUCCUGAAUCAUCACAAUGAUCCGUGCAAGGCCAAGGCUGUUGUCUUCUGUUUCAAGUGCGUUUUCCUGUCCUGUCCUCUGUCCUGUGGCAGUGGACAGCUGUGGCUCUUGCCAGAUUGUGUCUGCUCCUAGGACUGUGUGAGCUGGUGGUGGUAGCGGCCUUGAGCUUGACCCAUCCCUCCCGCUUCCCUGUUCCUGAGCGAGCACCUUGGAGUAUCCUUGGAGUGUCCUUGGAGGCUCUGCUCUCGGGGGCAGCCUGGGCCAAGAGAGCGCCUGAUGCUCACCCUGUCCUCACAGGUUCACGCCUACAUAAUCAGCUCCCUCAAGAAGGAGAUGCCCAAUGUCUUUGGUAAAGAGAGCAAAAAGAAAGAGCUGGUGAACAACCUGGGAGAGAUCUACCAGAAGAUUGAGCGCGAGCACCAGAUCUCCCCUGGGGACUUCCCGAGCCUCCGCAAGAUGCAGGAACUCCUGCAGACCCAGGACUUCAGCAAGUUCCAGGCGCUGAAGCCCAAGCUGCUGGACACGGUGGAUGACAUGCUGGCCAACGACAUCGCGCGGCUGAUGGUGAUGGUGCGGCAGGAGGAGUCCCUGAUGCCUUCCCAGGUGGUCAAGGGCGGCGCCUUUGACGGCACCAUGAACGGGCCGUUCGGGCACGGCUACGGCGAGGGGGCCGGUGAGGGCAUUGACGACGUGGAGUGGGUGGUGGGCAAGGACAAGCCCACCUACGACGAGAUCUUCUACACGCUGUCCCCUGUCAACGGCAAGAUCACGGGCGCCAACGCCAAGAAGGAGAUGGUGAAGUCCAAGCUCCCCAACACCGUGCUAGGGAAGAUCUGGAAGCUGGCCGAUGUGGACAAGGACGGGCUGCUGGACGACGAGGAGUUCGCGCUGGCCAACCACCUCAUCAAGGUCAAGCUGGAGGGCCACGAGCUGCCCGCCGACCUGCCCCCGCACCUGGUGCCGCCCUCCAAGCGCAGACAUGAGUGAUGGUGCCCGGCCCCGCACCUGCCAUUUGCACGCCCGGCCGGGAGGCAGAGACGGGGGGAGGGGAAGGCUCACCAUUUCUCAAGGUCCAUAAAGACUGAGCGGAUGUUUCCUCACCUCUCGAAAAGGAAAACCACCAUCUUUCUUUUAAGGCUGUUCCUGGGCCUGGCGGGGGAGGCAGGGGUGAGAGGAUGGAAUUGUGUGCACAAGAACUGUGGCUAUUUUAAUAUAUAACGUUAGAGGCUGCGUUCUUUGUCGCCGCCUCCCCUGUGUGCCAGCCCUGUGUGCACGGCCUCUGCCCCCCGGCCUUUGCUGUGGCUGGAGCUGGACAGUGCAGCGACUGCGACCGUGGGGGAGCCAGGUCGCCCUUUUGGCAGCUGCUAGGCUGGGGCUGCAUGGACAGGAACACCAGGCACCCUCCGUGUGCUUCUGAGCUGAGGUUGCUUCACGGGACCGUGCCUUCCUUCCUCACCCGGCUCUGCCUCCUCCGUGCUCUCGGGCAAAGUGGGUUCUUGUGCCUUCCCCUCCCGGGCCCAGGCUCCCCGUGCGCGGGCCCUGCCCUUUCCUCCCGCGCCCCACCGGCUCCGACGCGCCACCCCGCUCAGCAGUCACAGAAGCAGGGCCCAGCCACCUUGGUCUUUUUUUGGGAGUUCAGGGGAGUAGGAGAAUGUCUUCCAGAAAAAUACAUAAGCUAGUUUCUGUUCUGUAAAGUGAUAUCUUUCAUACUUGACCAAAGUUCCCAAUAACUUCCCAACCACUGUUCAAAAGCUGUGAUUUUUGUCUCCCCUUCCCACCCUCCAGCCAAGGAGCAGCCCUGCCCAGGGGGCAUUAGGUGUGGGUACCCGGGGAGCACCCCGUUCCUGGACCCCAGUGUUGCGUUUCCUGGCUGAGGAAGGGUGGUCAUCCCAGCUCCUGCCCUACCCUCUCACUUAACUGGAGCUUUGGGACGCGCCCUCCACAGUGGGAGGUGGGUGGUGGGUGGCGGUGGCGGGGCCUCACGACAGCUUGGUGCUGGUAAGAGGAAGCCCGUGGUUCUGGCUAGGCUCUCAUGUCCAGACAGCGGGGACCAGGGGAAAACCCAGCCCCUUCUCCUGUAAUCCCCCUUCAUUUCCUACCUUCCUUCCUCCUCUGUUUAGCAAAGGAGGGCAGCUCACUUGGAUGCCCUUACAAUGCCCCUGGCCCCAGGUUGAGCAAUAAGAAACCAGAGCCUUGCGGCCCAGUGGCCCGGGCCAGUUCAGGCCGCCUCCCCCUCCUCUGCCUGGGGCCAUUGAGCCCAGCCUCCAGGGCCCGGGCGCGUUUGCAGGCCAGUGGCCACUGUCCGGGCUGUGAUGGCACCAAGGCAGGUGGAGCACCAGGUACCACACAGCUGGGCUUCCCACCAGGCUUUCCCGCGAGGGUCUCAGGGAGCUUCUCCCCAGCGCUGCUCGGAGUCUGCAGGAACUGGCCUUGUUCUCCUUAGCCCGUCACUCCAUACAGUAUUAGGUGAGGAUGGAUGCGGGCGCUGUCCUUGCCGGGAAGUCACUGUUGAAGUUGCAGUGGCUUGUUCACACCUGUGGGAAGAGAAGUGAAGACUUUCUCCUUGCAUUAAAAAGUCUGAACUGUGCGAAA
Molecule: small RNA, 3471 nt
Filed under: Pan troglodytes (chimpanzee)
Lineage: Eukaryota; Metazoa; Chordata; Mammalia; Primates; Hominidae
Description: retained intron
Source: RNAcentral